AGGACGAACGCUGGCGGCGUGCUUAACACAUGCAAGUCGAACGCGCUUUACUCCUUCGGGAGUAAAGCGAGUGGCGAACGGGUGAGUAACACGUGAGCAACCUGCCCUUGACUCUGGAAUAACAGCUGGAAACAGCUGCUAAUACCGGAUACGACCUUCGAUGGCAUCAUCUGGAGGUGGAAAGCUCCGACGGUCAAGGAUGGGCUCGCGGCCUAUCAGCUUGUUGGUGAGGUAACGGCUCACCAAGGCUUCGACGGGUAGCCGG
Molecule: ribosomal RNA, 265 nt
Filed under: uncultured bacterium
Lineage: Bacteria
Description: partial small subunit ribosomal RNA
Rfam family: Bacterial small subunit ribosomal RNA
Source: RNAcentral